RNAcentral lists this small RNA (167 nucleotides) under Arabidopsis thaliana (thale cress). RNAcentral describes it as "ATSL213630". Lineage: Eukaryota; Viridiplantae; Streptophyta; Magnoliopsida; Brassicales; Brassicaceae. The record is from RNAcentral.
UGUUCGAAGAAGCUUAACAUCACUACAUGCAGAGGUAGAAACAGUAGUUUCGGUGAUGAAAUGUAUGAUCGACCAAGAGAAGCGAGAAAUAGUUUUCCAUACAGAUAACUUAGAUAUGGUGAAAAUCGCUUGCAUGGUUGAUAGGAAGCGAUUCAAAACAAUAUGAA